Molecule: ribosomal RNA, 395 nt
Filed under: uncultured bacterium
Lineage: Bacteria
Description: bacterial SSU rRNA
Rfam family: Bacterial small subunit ribosomal RNA
Source: RNAcentral
UAAUACGUAUGGGGCGAGCGUUGUUCGGAGUUAUUGGGCGUAAAGGGCGUGUAGGCGGCCCGAGAAGUCUGGUGUGAAAUCGCAGGGCUCAACCCUGCGGGUGCGCUGGAAACUGACGGGCUCGAGUCCCGGGGGGGAAGCUGGAAUUCCUGGUGUAGGAGUGAAAUCUGUAGAGAUCAGGAAGAACACCGGUGGCGAAGGCGAGCUUCUAUUCGAGGACUGACGCUGAGGCGCGAAAGCGUGGGGAGCAAACAGGAUUAGAUACCCUGGUAGUCCACGCUGUAAACGAUGUGCACUAGGCGUGGGGCACGUCGGUGCUCUGUGCCGAAGUUAACGCGAUAAGUGCACCGCCUGGGGAGUAUGCUCGCAAGGGUGAAACUUAAAUGAAUUGACGG